UACGAAGGGGGCAAGCGUUGUUCGGAAUUAUUGGGCGUAAAGAGCUCGUAGGCGGUCUGUCGCGUCUGCUGUGAAAACUCAGGGCUUAACCCUGAGCUUGCAGUGGGUACGGGCAGACUAGAGUGCGGUAGGGGAGACUGGAAUUCCUGGUGUAGCGGUGAAAUGCGCAGAUAUCAGGAGGAACACCGGUGGCGAAGGCGGGUCUCUGGGCCGUAACUGACGCUGAGGAGCGAAAGCAUGGGGAGCGAACAGG
RNAcentral lists this ribosomal RNA (253 nucleotides) under uncultured bacterium. RNAcentral describes it as "partial 16S ribosomal RNA". It matches the Rfam family "Bacterial small subunit ribosomal RNA", at positions 524 to 776 of the family's 1533-position model. The record is from RNAcentral.